This 253-nucleotide ribosomal RNA is filed under the name uncultured bacterium. Its description in RNAcentral is "partial 16S ribosomal RNA". It matches the Rfam family "Bacterial small subunit ribosomal RNA", at positions 524 to 776 of the family's 1533-position model. The record is from RNAcentral.
GACAGAGGUGCCAAGCGUUAGGCGGAAUCACUGGGCUUAAAGCGUGUGUAGGCGGACUUGUAAGUACCUUGUGAAAUCCCACGGCUCAACCGUGGAACUGCUUGGUAUACUGCUUGUCUUGAGCCACUUAGGGGCUACCGGAACAAAUGGUGGAGCGGUGAAAUGCGUAGAUAUCAUUUGGAACGCCAAUGGUGAAAACAGGUAGCUGGGAGUGUGCUGACGCUGAGGCGCGAAAGCCAGGGGAGCAAACGGG